CUUAGGCUUACCUAUUGUUGCUGUUGCCUUUUGGAAGCUGAUCUGAUCGUUUGCGUUGCUGAUUUGGAAGCCUCCCAAGCAUCCGAUCAAUGCAGCCUGAAGUCAGUGGAACUUCAUAUCUGACCUGCAAGCUCUACAAACUGUCUCAAAACACAGCCUUUGCCCUAAAACUCCUUGAUGCAGAAGAUGCAGCACAUGUACACAUAAACGCAAACAACGCAAACAGACGACCUUCCUUUCAGUCAGACUUAUUCGAGGCGGGUCAUACAGUGAGCGAAAUUCCGCAGCAGUAUUCAUAACACGGAUGAGAACAAGAGGUAGAGGAGGAGGUGGAGAGGUGUACGGAUGGAUUAGGCGGCGUAAGCACCAGCAAACCAUGACAAAUUCCCUGUACUUGCAACCCAUGAUACUUAGCAAUAAAGGUGAUUCAGAUUUUGAGAAUUGUAUCACCAUAUGCAGUUUGGAGGAUCUUUUGUCUCAUAACUUAACAAAGAAUGUACUACAAGAACAAUUUCAAGUCAUUAUUCAAGUCAUGACUCACGUAUUACCCCAAUCUAUUUUGAUCACAUCUGAACCGGACACUUUCUAGAUCCUUGAGUACGAAAGGAGAGAAAUGUGGA
Long non-coding RNA from Silurus meridionalis, 620 nucleotides. RefSeq lists it as uncharacterized. NCBI's taxonomy places the organism in Eukaryota, Metazoa, Chordata, Actinopteri, Siluriformes, Siluridae. The record is from RefSeq and is a predicted model, not a curated record. The transcript has 5 exons.